UUGGGCGAACUGUGGUUAAGGAACUCGGCAAAUUACCCCCGUAACUUCGGGAGAAGGGGGGCCACAGACUGUCAUACCCCACGCGGGUGGCAGCAGUAGGUGGCCGCAGAGACCAGGGGGAAGCGACUGUUUACUAAAAACACAGGUCCGUGCGAAGUCGUAAGACGAUGUAUACGGACUGACGCCUGCCCGGUGCUGGAACGUUAAGGGGACCGGUUAGUCCGCAAGGGCGAAGCUGAGAACUUAAGCGCCAGUAAACGGCGGUGGUAACUAUAACCAUCCUAAGGUAGCGAAAUUCCUUGUCGGGUAAGUUCCGACCUGCACGAAUGGCGUAACGACUUCCCUACUGUCUCAACCACAGGCCCGGCGAAAUUGCACUACGAGUAAAGAUGCUCGUUACGCGCGGAAGGACGGAAAGACCCCGGGACCUUCACUAUAGCUUGACAUUGGUAUCCGAAUUUAAUUGUGUAGGAUAGGUGGGAGGCUUUGAUCCGCGGACGCCAGUCCGUCGGGGAGCCAACGUUGAAAUACCACUCUGUUGAAUUUGGGUAUCUAACUUCGGACCGUGAUCCGGUUCAGGGACAGUGUCUGGUGGGUAGUUUAACUGGGGCGGUUGCCUCCUAAAAUGUAACGGAGGCGCCCAAAGGUUCCCUCAGCCUGGUUGGCAAUCAGGUGUUGAGUGCAAGUGCACAAGGGAGCUUGACUGUGAGACUGACAGGUCGAGCAGGGACGAAAGUCGGGACUAGUGACCCGGCACCUGCGAGUGGAAGCGGUGUCGCUCAACGGAUAAAAGGUACCCCGGGGAUAACAGGCUGAUCUUCCCCAAGAGUCCAUAUCGACGGGAUGGUUUGGCACCUCGAUGUCGGCUCGUCGCAUCCUGGGGCUGGAGUAGGUCCCAAGGGUUGGGCUGUUCGCCCAUUAAAGCGGCACGCGAGCUGGGUUUAGAACGUCGUGGCACAGUUCGGUCCCUAUCCUCCGCGCGCGUAGGAGACUUGAGAAGAGCUGUCCCUAGUACGAGAGGACCGGGACGGACGAACCUCUGGUGUGCCAGUUGUCAUGCCAAUGGCACGGCUGGUUAGCUACGUUCGGAAGGGAUAACCGCUGAAAGCAUCUAAGCGGGAAGCUCGCUUCAAGAUGAGGUCUCCCACCCCUUCGAGGGUUAAGGCCCCCAGCUAGACCACUGGGUUGAUAGGCCAGAAGUGUAAGCCUGGUAACAGGUUCAGCCGACUGGUACUAAUAGGCCGAGGACUC
This 1251-nucleotide ribosomal RNA is filed under the name metagenome. RNAcentral describes it as "bacterial LSU rRNA". It matches the Rfam family "Bacterial large subunit ribosomal RNA", at positions 1689 to 2925 of the family's 2925-position model. The record is from RNAcentral.